GACUAGUCCAGAUUGCAAUGGAAAGCAUUUUUUGGUAAAAACCUAUUUUUUGUUGGUAUAAAAAAGCGACCAACGGAAGCUCUUUUUAUGGCUUACAAAAAAAGGUUUUUGCAAAAAAUCUUGGAAUGGAAAGCUGGAAAUAGC
This 144-nucleotide small RNA is filed under the name Flavobacterium aquatile LMG 4008 = ATCC 11947. Its description in RNAcentral is "Flavobacterium aquatile LMG 4008 Flavo-1 RNA". It matches the Rfam family "Flavo-1 RNA". Lineage: Bacteria; Pseudomonadati; Bacteroidota; Flavobacteriia; Flavobacteriales; Flavobacteriaceae. The record is from Rfam by way of RNAcentral.